Molecule: ribosomal RNA, 368 nt
Filed under: uncultured organism
Description: bacterial SSU rRNA
Rfam family: Bacterial small subunit ribosomal RNA
Source: RNAcentral
CGGAGGAUCCAAGCGUUAUCCGGAUUUAUUGGGUUUAAAGGGUGCGUAGGCGGCCUGUUAAGUCAGGGGUGAAAGACGGUAGCUUAACUAUCGCAGUGCCCUUGAUACUGAUGGGCUUGAAUAUACUUGAGGUAGGCGGAAUGUGACAAGUAGCGGUGAAAUGCAUAGAUAUGUCACAGAACACCAAUUGCGAAGGCAGCUUACUAAGGUAUGAUUGACGCUGAGGCACGAAAGCGUGGGGAUCAAACAGGAUUAGAUACCCUGGUAGUCCACGCCCUAAACGAUGAACACUCGAUGUUGGCGAUAUACGGUCAGCGUCAAAGCGAAAGCGUUAAGUGUUCCACCUGGGGAGUACGCCCGCAAGGGUG